Alnus glutinosa is the source of this 637-nucleotide long non-coding RNA. RefSeq lists it as uncharacterized. Lineage: Eukaryota; Viridiplantae; Streptophyta; Magnoliopsida; Fagales; Betulaceae. The record is from RefSeq and is a predicted model, not a curated record. The transcript has 2 exons.
CCCGGGAAAGUAGUAGCUGUUGUCCGAAGAGAGUAAGACGAAAGCAGAUCGAAGCAGAUGAUGGUACACGUAUUAUGAAUUGGAAUGGAGGAAAGUAAAAAAAAAGCUGAUCAUCCUUCUCCAUCUUCGUCACCUCCAACACCUCCCUCGCCCCUUCCCAUCAGUGUCGGACCAGGCAACCAAAAGUAUGUCUUCUCUUCAUCUCCAUCCCCUUCCCCGCCCUUCUCCAACCAUACUUCCGCCGACAAUCUCCCUCUUUUGACCGCUGCUGCAGCGCCGUUUGCUAUUUCCUUGGAUCGUCCAUACCAGGAUGAUUUGGAUUCUACCACCUCUUGCCUCAAAGACUUGCUUGAUUGGUUUAUACAGAAAUGCUGCAGUUGCUGUUCCAACAGGCCUCUCUGAAUUUUCAUAUGCAACACAAUUGCUAACGUCUCCGCUAACUCAUUACGAAGUCGUUUUUUGUUUUCUUUUUUUCUUUUUCUUUUUUUCUCUUUUUUGGAAGAUGGGGUGGGGGGGCAGACAAGCCUCAAAUGAUUUUUUUGGCACUGCUACCACAAGUCUAUGGGUGAAGUAAUUGUAACCAUUCUUGAAACUUGCAAAUGUUUUAGAAUUAUGACGUCAAUUCUUUUAUCCCUUU